AACGAACGCUGGCGGCAUGCCUAACACAUGCAAGUCGAACGAGACCUUCGGGUCUAGUGGCGCACGGGUGCGUAACGCGUGGGAACCUGCCCUUAGGUUCGGAAUAACUCCCCGAAAGGGGUGCUAAUACCGGAUAAUGUCUUCGGACCAAAGAUUUAUCGCCUUUGGAUGGGCCCGCGUUGGAUUAGCUAGUUGGUAGGGUAAAAGCCUACCAAGGCGACGAUCCAUAGCUGGUCUGAGAGGAUGAUCAGCCACACUGGGACUGAGGCACGGCCCAGACUCCUACGGGAAGCAGCAGUGGGGAAUAUAGGACAAUGGGCGAAAGCCUGAUCCAGCAAUGCCGCGUGAGUGAUGAAGGCCUUAGGGUUGUAAAGCUCUUUUACCCGGGAUGAUAAUGACAGUACCGGGAGAAUAAGCUCCGGCUAACUCCGUG
This 433-nucleotide ribosomal RNA is filed under the name uncultured bacterium. RNAcentral describes it as "partial 16S ribosomal RNA". It matches the Rfam family "Bacterial small subunit ribosomal RNA", at positions 29 to 507 of the family's 1533-position model. The record is from RNAcentral.